This is a long non-coding RNA of Daphnia pulicaria, 572 nucleotides long. RefSeq lists it as uncharacterized. The record is from RefSeq and is a predicted model, not a curated record. Lineage: Eukaryota; Metazoa; Arthropoda; Branchiopoda; Diplostraca; Daphniidae. The transcript is spliced from 3 exons.
UUUGCAUUUAGACUGACUGAGAGCUAUCAGUUUGUCCUUUCGAGAAAAAUAAAAGGCCAACACCAUGGUCAAAAAAGGGUUUUUGUUGACCAUUCUCAAACUUGCCACUACUCGUGUAUCAUCCAAGCUAUCAUGUGUGUUGAUGGAAAGCGAUCUAUUUGCAUUUAGACUGACUGAGAGCUAUCAGAUUGUCCUUUCGAGAAAAAUAAAAGGCCAACACCAUGGUCAAAAAAGGGUUUUUGUUGACCCCUUGGUUGCUACAUAUUCAAUCCUCAUAUCCUUGGAAUGGACCCACUCUUAUUUAGAGGUUAAUCCCUCGCCACUAUUCAAUAGACGGAAUCCGUUGGUGGAAGCUGACGAAAGAUUAGUUUGCUGAUAUUCAGCAAUCCAACCGAAGGCCUUUCAACUUCAUUCUUUGCUGACUCUUUUUACGUUUUACGUUUUGAUCUUUCGAUUGUUUGCUGACGUCUAACGUUUUUAUUUGAAAAUAAUUUCUCCGUUUUGUUUUGUUCAAAAGUGUAACAUUAUAUUGAACUUGUCUUUUUUAACAAUAAAUACAAUGGACCAAUAAA